This 487-nucleotide ribosomal RNA is filed under the name Diaporthe phaseolorum. RNAcentral's name for it is "eukaryotic LSU rRNA". The stretch from base 134 to 287 matches the Rfam family "5.8S ribosomal RNA". Lineage: Eukaryota; Fungi; Ascomycota; Sordariomycetes; Diaporthales; Diaporthaceae. The record is from RNAcentral.
UAUACCUUUUGUUGCCUCGGCGCAUGCUGGCCUCUAGCAGGCCCCUCACCCCGGUGAGGAGAAGGCACGCCGGCGGCCAAGUUAACUCUUGUUUUUACACUGAAACUCUGAGAAAAAAACACAAAUGAAUCAAAACUUUCAACAACGGAUCUCUUGGUUCUGGCAUCGAUGAAGAACGCAGCGAAAUGCGAUAAGUAAUGUGAAUUGCAGAAUUCAGUGAAUCAUCGAAUCUUUGAACGCACAUUGCGCCCUCUGGUAUUCCGGAGGGCAUGCCUGUUCGAGCGUCAUUUCAACCCUCAAGCAUUGCUUGGUGUUGGGGCACUGCCUGUAAAAGGGCAGGCCCUGAAAUCUAGUGGCGAGCUCGCCAGGACCCCGAGCGCAGUAGUUAAACCCUCGCUCUGGAAGGCCCUGGCGGUGCCCUGCCGUUAAACCCCCAACUUUUGAAAAUUUGACCUCGGAUCAGGUAGGAAUACCCGCUGAACUUAAG